RNAcentral lists this ribosomal RNA (1648 nucleotides) under Salmonella enterica. RNAcentral's name for it is "partial 23S ribosomal RNA". It matches the Rfam family "Bacterial large subunit ribosomal RNA", at positions 1302 to 2925 of the family's 2925-position model. The record is from RNAcentral. Lineage: Bacteria; Pseudomonadati; Pseudomonadota; Gammaproteobacteria; Enterobacterales; Enterobacteriaceae.
AUAAGUAACGAUAAAGCGGGUGAAAAGCCCGCUCGCCGGAAGACCAAGGGUUCCUGUCCAACGUUAAUCGGGGCAGGGUGAGUCGACCCCUAAGGCGAGGCCGAAAGGCGUAGUCGAUGGGAAACGGGUUAAUAUUCCCGUACUUGGUGUUACUGCGAAGGGGGGACGGAGAAGGCUAUGUUGGCCGGGCGACGGUUGUCCCGGUUUAAGCGUGUAGGUGUGUGUUCCAGGUAAAUCCGGUUCACUUUAACACUGAGGCGUGAUGACGAGGCACUACGGUGCUGAAGCAACAAAUGCCCUGCUUCCAGGAAAAGCCUCUAAGCAUCAGGUAACAUCAAAUCGUACCCCAAACCGACACAGGUGGUCAGGUAGAGAAUACCAAGGCGCUUGAGAGAACUCGGGUGAAGGAACUAGGCAAAAUGGUGCCGUAACUUCGGGAGAAGGCACGCUGACACGUAGGUGAAGUGAUUUACUCAUGGAGCUGAAGUCAGUCGAAGAUACCAGCUGGCUGCAACUGUUUAUUAAAAACACAGCACUGUGCAAACACGAAAGUGGACGUAUACGGUGUGACGCCUGCCCGGUGCCGGAAGGUUAAUUGAUGGGGUCAGCGCAAGCGAAGCUCCUGAUCGAAGCCCCGGUAAACGGCGGCCGUAACUAUAACGGUCCUAAGGUAGCGAAAUUCCUUGUCGGGUAAGUUCCGACCUGCACGAAUGGCGUAAUGAUGGCCAGGCUGUCUCCACCCGAGACUCAGUGAAAUUGAACUCGCUGUGAAGAUGCAGUGUACCCGCGGCAAGACGGAAAGACCCCGUGAACCUUUACUAUAGCUUGACACUGAACAUUGAGCCUUGAUGUGUAGGAUAGGUGGGAGGCUUUGAAGUGUGGACGCCAGUCUGCAUGGAGCCGGCCUUGAAAUACCACCCUUUAAUGUUUGAUGUUCUAACGUGGACCCGUGAUCCGGGUUGCGGACAGUGUCUGGUGGGUAGUUUGACUGGGGCGGUCUCCUCCUAAAGAGUAACGGAGGAGCACGAAGGUUGGCUAAUCCUGGUCGGACAUCAGGAGGUUAGUGCAAUGGCAUAAGCCAGCUUGACUGCGAGCGUGACGGCGCGAGCAGGUGCGAAAGCAGGUCAUAGUGAUCCGGUGGUUCUGAAUGGAAGGGCCAUCGCUCAACGGAUAAAAGGUACUCCGGGGAUAACAGGCUGAUACCGCCCAAGAGUUCAUAUCGACGGCGGUGUUUGGCACCUCGAUGUCGGCUCAUCACAUCCUGGGGCUGAAGUAGGUCCCAAGGGUAUGGCUGUUCGCCAUUUAAAGUGGUACGCGAGCUGGGUUUAGAACGUCGUGAGACAGUUCGGUCCCUAUCUGCCGUGGGCGCUGGAGAACUGAGGGGGGCUGCUCCUAGUACGAGAGGACCGGAGUGGACGCAUCACUGGUGUUCGGGUUGUCAUGCCAAUGGCACUGCCCGGUAGCUAAAUGCGGAAGAGAUAAGUGCUGAAAGCAUCUAAGCACGAAACUUGCCCCGAGAUGAGUUCUCCCUGAGACUUUAGGUCUCCUGAAGGAACGUUGAAGACGACGACGUUGAUAGGCCGGGUGUGUAAGCGCAGCGAUGCGUUGAGCUAACCGGUACUAAUGAACCGUGAGGCUUAACCUUACA